This 153-nucleotide ribosomal RNA is filed under the name Gonatus sp. ADS-2008. Its description in RNAcentral is "partial 16S ribosomal RNA". Lineage: Eukaryota; Metazoa; Mollusca; Cephalopoda; Oegopsida; Gonatidae. The record is from RNAcentral.
AUUGAGCUUAUAAUUUUAUUGCUACUAGAUUAUUAUUAGUGUAGUGGUGUAUAAAUUUUAAUUGGGGUGAUUAAGGAAUAAAAUUUAAUUUAGUAACUUCCUUAAGUUUUAUAUUGUUAAAUAAAGUAACCAAUGAAUUAUUGCUUAUAAUAU